GAUGAACGCUGGCGGCGCGCCUAACACAUGCAAGUCGAACGGCACCCCUCCUCGGAGGGAAGCGAGUGGCGAACGGCUGAGUAACACGUGGAGAACCUGCCCCCUCCCCCGGGAUAGCCGCCCGAAAGGACGGGUAAUACCGGAUACCCCGGGGUGCCGCAUGGCACCCCGGCUAAAGCCCCGACGGGAGGGGAUGGCUCCGCGGCCCAUCAGGUAGACGGCGGGGUGACGGCCCACCGUGCCGACAACGGGUAGCCGGGUUGAGAGACCGACCGGCCAGAUGGGGAGAGAGACACGGCACAGACCCCGCGGGGGGGCGGCGGGGGGGAUUCUGGCGCAAGGGGGGAAACCCGGACGCAGCGCCGCCGCGGGGGGGACGGGGGCCUGGGGGUCGUAAACCUCUUUCAGAAGGGAAGGGUCAAGACUGUCCCUGAAGAAGAAGCCCCGGCUAACUACGGG
RNAcentral lists this ribosomal RNA (459 nucleotides) under uncultured bacterium. Its description in RNAcentral is "partial 16S ribosomal RNA". It matches the Rfam family "Bacterial small subunit ribosomal RNA", at positions 28 to 507 of the family's 1533-position model. The record is from RNAcentral.